Molecule: ribosomal RNA, 253 nt
Filed under: uncultured bacterium
Lineage: Bacteria
Description: partial 16S ribosomal RNA
Rfam family: Bacterial small subunit ribosomal RNA
Source: RNAcentral
UACGUAGGGGGCAAGCGUUGUCCGGAAUCAUUGGGCGUAAAGCGCGUGUAGGCGGCCCGAUAAGUCCGCUGUGAAAGUCCAGGGCUCAACCCUGGAAUGCCGGUGGAUACUGUCGGGCUAGAGUCCGGAAGAGGCGAGUGGAAUUCCUGGUGUAGCGGUGAAAUGCGUAGAUAUCGAGAGGAACACCUGCGGCGAAGGCGGGUUGCUGGGCUGACACUGACGCUGAGGCGCGAAAGCUAGGGGAGCGAACGGG